Dermacentor silvarum is the source of this 505-nucleotide long non-coding RNA. RefSeq lists it as uncharacterized. The record is from RefSeq and is a predicted model, not a curated record. The transcript is spliced from 3 exons. NCBI's taxonomy places the organism in Eukaryota, Metazoa, Arthropoda, Arachnida, Ixodida, Ixodidae.
CUACUUCAACAUGUAUUUCGCUCAUUAUUUCGCUCUUGUAGUUGGCUUUCUGUAGUGAAUUUUGUUUCAUUAGUGUUGAUUUUGCUUGUUAAUUCACUCUAUAUGUUAUGCACCACUCCCCCCUGUAAAGCGUAUGCGCUUGAGGCUAAUAAAGUUAAAUGAAAUGAAAGUGCACAGCGCAUUCAGUCUAAAAUCUCUUAGUAGGCCGUAUGCAUCAAAGCCUCAUUUUCGUUUUUUAGUAGGCGGAGCUGCAACCAGCAUCACGAACACGGUUUUGACUAGCCAAAGUGGAAGUAGGAGCUCUGGAAAGGAGGAUGCUGGCACAGAUAGCGGAUCGGAUUCAGAGGACACAGAAAACGACGGGGGUGAUGAGAAGGAUAUCAAAGACCAGAAGAAUUCUAAAGAGAACCAGAAACCAGGUAUGUAUCUCUUGUCACAUGUGUAGACCACUUCAAACAGAAAUUGAUAUGUAGGCUAAGCAAUAAACAAACGGAGUUAUAGGAGA